GUGUUUUGUUAUAAAAAGAUAGAAAGCCAAAGACUCAUACGGACUUCAUCUACACCAUCAAAGCUUUGAGAAGCAAGAAGAGUC
Molecule: small RNA, 84 nt
Filed under: Arabidopsis thaliana (thale cress)
Lineage: Eukaryota; Viridiplantae; Streptophyta; Magnoliopsida; Brassicales; Brassicaceae
Description: ATSL268850
Source: RNAcentral